This 384-nucleotide ribosomal RNA is filed under the name uncultured bacterium. RNAcentral's name for it is "bacterial SSU rRNA". It matches the Rfam family "Bacterial small subunit ribosomal RNA", at positions 32 to 398 of the family's 1533-position model. The record is from RNAcentral.
AAUCAACGCUGGCGGCGUGCCUAACACAUGCAAGUCGAACGCGAAAGUGGAGCAAUCCAUGAGUAGAGUGGCAAACGGGUGAGUAACGCGUGGGCGACCUACCUUCGAGUGGGGGAUAACAUUCCGAAAGGAGUGCUAAUACCGCAUGACAUCCCGUGUUUGGAUACACGGACAUCAAAGCAGGGGAGUCGCAAGACCUGGCGCUUGGAGAGGGGCCCGCGUCCGAUUAGCUAGUUGGUGAGGUAACGGCUCACCAAGGCUCCGAUCGGUAUCCGGCCUGAGAGGGCGGACGGACACACUGGAACUGAGACACGGUCCAGACUCCUACGGGAGGCAGCAGUGGGGAAUUGUUCACAAUGGGCGCAAGCCUGAUGACGCAACGCC